ACUAGCUUGCUAGUUGCUGACGAGUGGCGGACGGGUGAGUAAUACUUAGGGAUCUGCCUCUGUGUGGGGGAUAACUAUUGGAAACGAUAGCUAAUACCGCAUAACGUCUACGGACCAAAGAGGGCUUCGGCUCUCGCGCAGAGAGGAACCUAAGCGAGAUUAGCUUGUUGGUGAGGUAAAGGCUCACCAAGGCGACGAUCUCUAGCUGUUCUGAGAGGAAGAUCAGCCACACUGGAACUGAGACACGGUCCAGACUCCUACGGGAGGCAGCAGUGGGGAAUAUUGCACAAUGGGGGCAACCCUGAUGCAGCCAUGCCGCGUGUGUGAAGAAGGCCUUCGGGUUGUAAAGCACUUUCAGUUGCGAGGAAAGGUUAGUAGUUAAUACCUGCUAGCUGUGACGUUAACAACAGAAGAAGCACCGGCUAACUCCGUGCCAGCAGCCGCGGUAAUACGGAGGGUGCGAGCGUUAAUCGGAAUUACUGGGCGUAAAGCGCACGCAGGCGGUCUGUUAAGCUAGAUGUGAAAGCCCCGCGCUCAACGUGGGAGGGUCAUUUAGAACUGGCAGACUAGAGUCUUGGAGAGGGGAGUGGAAUUCCAGGUGUAGCGGGGGAAUGCGUAGAGAUCUGGAGGAACAUCAAUGGCGAAAGCAACUCCCUGGCCAAAGACUGACGCUCAUGUGCGAAAGUGUGGGGUAGCGAACAGGAUUAAAUACCCUGGUAGCCCACACCCGUAACGCUUGUCUACUAACUGUUGGUGGAUUUUAUCCGUGAGGAGGCGAAACUAACGCGAUUAUUAAACCG
Molecule: ribosomal RNA, 800 nt
Filed under: uncultured Gammaproteobacteria bacterium
Lineage: Bacteria; Pseudomonadati; Pseudomonadota; Gammaproteobacteria
Description: bacterial SSU rRNA
Rfam family: Bacterial small subunit ribosomal RNA
Source: RNAcentral